RNAcentral lists this ribosomal RNA (721 nucleotides) under Kluyveromyces marxianus. RNAcentral's name for it is "eukaryotic LSU rRNA". The stretch from base 261 to 414 matches the Rfam family "5.8S ribosomal RNA". The record is from RNAcentral. Lineage: Eukaryota; Fungi; Ascomycota; Saccharomycetes; Saccharomycetales; Saccharomycetaceae.
UCCGUAGGUGAACCUGCGGAAGGAUCAUUAAAGAUUAUGAAUGAAUAGAUUGCUGGGGGAAUCGUCUGAACAAGGCCUGCGCUUAAUUGCGCGGCCAGUUCUUGAUUCUCUGCUAUCAGUUUUCUAUUUCUCAUCCUAAACACAAUGGAGUUCUUUCUCUAUGAACUACUUCCCUGGAGAGCUCGUCUCUCCAGUGGACAUAAACACAAACAAUAUUUUGUAUUAUGAAAAACUAUUAUACUAUAAAAUUUAAUAUUCAAAACUUUCAACAACGGAUCUCUUGGUUCUCGCAUCGAUGAAGAACGCAGCGAAUUGCGAUGUGUAUUGUGAAUUGCAGAUUUUCGUGAAUCAUCAAAUCUUUGAACGCACAUUGCGCCCUCUGGUAUUCCAGGGGGCAUGCCUGUUUGAGCGUCAUUUCUCUCUCAAACCUUUGGGUUUGGUAGUGAGUGAUACUCGGCUCGGGUUAACUUGAAAGUGGCUAGCCGUUGCCAUCUGCGUGAGCAGGGCUGCGUGUCAAGUCUAUGGACUCGACUCUUGCACAUCUACGUCUUAGGUUUGCGCCAAUUCGUGGUAAGCUUGGGUCAUAGAGACUCAUAGGUGUUAUAAAGACUCGCUGGUGUUUGUCUCCUUGAGGCAUACGGCUUUAACCAAAACUCUCAAAGUUUGACCUCAAAUCAGGUAGGAGUACCCGCUGAACUUAAGCAUAUCAAUAAGCGGAGGA